AACUCACAGAUCCUCCCACCUCCUCUGCCUCCCAAGUGCUGAAAUUAAAGGCGUGUGCCACCACCACCUGGCUGAAGUUAGAUUUUUCUAACUUAAAAUUUACCCAGUUAGUGCAUAGAGAGAGCCCUUCACUUGGGCCACCUAGUUAUUGUCCAGGUCAUGGUAUUGAGUGAUUGUUACUUUCUAGGUAUUGAAUAUUUAACUGUGGGGUGCUAAAAAGGCAGAAUAUGAGCCUAGGCACUCUUGCCAGAUGUUUGCAUCUGUUAACUCACAAGCCUGCUGGAAGCCCCGUAGUUGUGUAGAAACUAUUAUUAGAUGAGUUUGAGUGAGGGCCAGGUUGCUGUACCUACUGUAGUGUAGGUCAGCACAAACAGGGCUGUGGUUCCCACACACCAGUGCUUUCUUAUGGAGUACACCAUUACAGAGCAGUGGAGUAGUUUUUAACUAAACAGCCAUAGGCAGCAGAAUGCAUUUUGGUGCACGACCUCUUACCCUUUUCUUUUAUGGCCAAAUACUACUGGGACCUUGGGACCUUGUUGCACGCCUGUAAUCCCUGCGCUUGAGCUGGAGCAGAAGGAUCUAGAGGUUAGGAGCCUCGACUGGUAACAGAUCAGACCAACCUGGAUUCACAGACCUUGUCUCAAUAAAACCCACUAAAGUCAGAUAUUUUAUUUUUACAAAGCCAUGCUGCUUAAGACUGUCAGG
Myodes glareolus (Bank vole) is the source of this 705-nucleotide non-coding RNA. Lineage: Eukaryota; Metazoa; Chordata; Mammalia; Rodentia; Cricetidae. The record is from RefSeq and is a predicted model, not a curated record.